CGUUGCCGGCGGGUCUACCAUCCGAGUCGAGCGGUAGCACAGGAGAGCUUGCUCUCGGGUGACGAGCGGCGGAGGGUGAGUAAUGUCUGGGAAACUGCCUGAUGGAGGGGGAUAACUACUGGAAACGGUAGCUAAUACCGCAUAACGUCGCAAGACCAAAGUGGGGGACCUUCGGGCCUCAUGCCAUCAGAUGUGCCCAGAUGGGAUUAGCUAGUAGGUGGGGUAAUGGCUCACCUAGGCGACGAUCCCUAGCUGGUCUGAGAGGAUGACCAGCCACACUGGAACUGAGACACGGUCCAGACUCCUACGGGAGGCAGCAGUGGGGAAUAUUGCACAAUGGGCGCAAGCCUGAUGCAGCCAUGCCGCGUGUAUGAAGAAGGCCUUCGGGUUGUAAAGUACUUUCAGCGAGGAGGAAGGCGUUAAGGUUAAUAACCUUAGCGAUUGACGUUACUCGCAGAAGAAGCACCGGCUAACUCCGUGCCAGCAGCCGCGGUAAUACGGAGGGUGCAAGCGUUAAUCGGAAUUACUGGGCGUAAAGCGCACGCAGGCGGUCUGUCAAGUCGGAUGUGAAAUCCCCGGGCUCAACCUGGGAACUGCAUUCGAAACUGGCAGGCUAGAGUCUUGUAGAGGGGGGUAGAAUUCCAGUGUAGCGGUGAAAUGCGUAGAGAUCUGGAGGAAUACCGGUGGCGAAAGGCGGCCCCCUGGACAAAGACUGACGCUCAUGGUGCGAAAGCGUGGGGGAGCAAACAGGAUUAAGAAACUCGCGUGUGUAUACACACCAU
RNAcentral lists this ribosomal RNA (782 nucleotides) under Klebsiella aerogenes. Its description in RNAcentral is "bacterial SSU rRNA". It matches the Rfam family "Bacterial small subunit ribosomal RNA", at positions 34 to 803 of the family's 1533-position model. The record is from RNAcentral. Lineage: Bacteria; Pseudomonadati; Pseudomonadota; Gammaproteobacteria; Enterobacterales; Enterobacteriaceae.